This is a long non-coding RNA of Aquila chrysaetos chrysaetos, 586 nucleotides long. RefSeq lists it as uncharacterized. The transcript has 3 exons. The record is from RefSeq and is a predicted model, not a curated record. Lineage: Eukaryota; Metazoa; Chordata; Aves; Accipitriformes; Accipitridae.
AGCUGCCGCCCCGGGGGUCCCGAUGCCGCCGUCGCUGUCGGUGCCCGGAGGCCGCCGCGGUGCGCUCGGCAGCGGCCGCCCCGACCGAGCGCAGGCUCAGCGGACGCGUCGCCGUAAGAGCGCUUAAACCCGCCAAGUUCGGGCUCUGAAAUCACUUUUCCGUGGUUUUCCUUUUUUUUUUUCUUCUUUUUCUUUUUCUUUUUUUUUUUUUUUUUUUCCAACAGCAGCACCAGCUGGGAGCGGAAGAUCAGAGAAUGGCUAUUGAUUAAUCUAUUAGAGGUGUUAACGACUUAAUCAUUGCGGGCGUUAGCAUAUGAAAAAGUAGGAAAUGAGGGAGUGUGUGUGAAUGUGAGGACCGUAUUGACGCGGCCCCAGGUGUUGUCGGAUUUCGGGGAAUACAAUUAAAUUAGGAAAAUGCCCCACGAGCGAACAGUUUCACAAUCUUCCCGCGGGGCCGGCUCCCUCCCUGCGCGGCCGCGGACCCGCCACCCCGCGGGGUUCCCCCCCCCCUCCCCGCUCCGGCUCCUUUUUUACGCGUUUCCCGGCGGAUCUCCGCGGACCGUGACCCUGGCCUCCGCACCCGCGU